Non-coding RNA from Triticum aestivum (bread wheat), 135 nucleotides. The record is from Rfam. NCBI's taxonomy places the organism in Eukaryota, Viridiplantae, Streptophyta, Magnoliopsida, Poales, Poaceae.
CCACUAAUCCCUCUGUCCCAAAUUUCUUGUCUUAGAUUUGUCUAGAUACGGAUGUAUCUAAUACUAAAAUGUGACUUGAUACAUCCGUAUCUAGACAAAUCUAAGACAAGAAUUUUGGGACGGAGGGAGUACUUU